This 484-nucleotide ribosomal RNA is filed under the name uncultured bacterium. Its description in RNAcentral is "partial 16S ribosomal RNA". It matches the Rfam family "Bacterial small subunit ribosomal RNA", at positions 30 to 507 of the family's 1533-position model. The record is from RNAcentral.
AUUGAACGCUGGCGGCAGGCCUAACACAUGCAAGUCGAGCGGAUGAAGGGAGCUUGCUCCUGGAUUCAGCGGCGGACGGGUGAGUAAUGCCUAGGAAUCUGCCUGGUAGCGGGGGAUAACGUCCGGAAACGGGCGCUAAUACCGCAUACGUCCUGAGGGAGAAAGUGGGGGAUCUUCGGACCUCACGCUAUCAGAUGAGCCUAGGUCGGAUUAGCUAGUUGGUGGGGUAAAGGCCUACCAAGGCGACGAUCCGUAACUGGUCUGAGAGGAUGAUCAGUCACACUGGAACUGAGACACGGUCCAGACUCCUACGGGAGGCAGCAGUGGGGAAUAUUGGACAAUGGGCGAAAGCCUGAUCCAGCCAUGCCGCGUGUGUGAAGAAGGUCUUCGGAUUGUAAAGCACUUUAAGUUGGGAGGAAGGGCAGUAAGUUAACACCUUGCUGUUUUGACGUUACCAACAGAAUAAGCACCGGCUAACUUCGUG